GUAGGUGGCAAGCGUUGUCCGGAUUUACUGGGCGUAAAGAGCGCGCAGGCGGUCGUUCAAGUCGCGUGUGAAAGCCCCCGGCUCAACUGGGGAGGGUCACGCGAUACUGAUCGACUCGAAGGCAGGAGAGGGUAGUGGAAUUCCCGGUGUAGUGGUGAAAUGCGUAGAUAUCGGGAGGAACACCAGUGGCGAAGGCGACUACCUGGCCUGUUCUUGACGCUGAGGCGCGAAAGCUAGGGGAGCAAACGGGAUUAGAUACCCCGGUAGUCCUAGCCGUAAACGAUGGACACUAGGUGUUGGUGGUAUCAACCCCGCCAGUGCCGAAGCUAACGCAUUAAGUGUCCCGCCUGGGGAGUACGGCCGCAAGGCUA
RNAcentral lists this ribosomal RNA (371 nucleotides) under uncultured bacterium. RNAcentral describes it as "bacterial SSU rRNA". It matches the Rfam family "Bacterial small subunit ribosomal RNA", at positions 527 to 896 of the family's 1533-position model. The record is from RNAcentral.